GAUGAACGCUGGCGGCGUGCCUAAUACAUGCAAGUCGAGCGAACAGACGAGGAGCUUGCUCCUCUGACGUUAGCGGCGGACGGGUGAGUAACACGUGGAUAACCUACCUAUAAGACUGGGAUAACUUCGGGAAACCGGAGCUAAUACCGGAUAAUAUAUUGAACCGCAUGGUUCAAUAGUGAAAGACGGUUUUGCUGUCACUUAUAGAUGGAUCCGCGCCGCAUUAGCUAGUUGGUAAGGUAACGGCUUACCAAGGCGACGAUGCGUAGCCGACCUGAGAGGGUGAUCGGCCACACUGGAACUGAGACACGGUCCAGACUCCUACGGGAGGCAGCAGUAGGGAAUCUUCCGCAAUGCGCGAAAGCCUGACGGAGCAACGCCGCGUGAGUGAUGAAGGUCUUCGGAUCGUAAAACUCUGUUAUUAGGGAAGAAGAAAUGUGUAAGUAACUAUGCACGUCUUGACGGUACCUAAUCAGAAAGCCACGGCUAACUACGUG
RNAcentral lists this ribosomal RNA (497 nucleotides) under uncultured bacterium. Its description in RNAcentral is "partial 16S ribosomal RNA". It matches the Rfam family "Bacterial small subunit ribosomal RNA", at positions 28 to 507 of the family's 1533-position model. The record is from RNAcentral.